RNAcentral lists this unclassified non-coding RNA (434 nucleotides) under soil metagenome. RNAcentral describes it as "partial contains 5.8S ribosomal RNA, internal transcribed spacer 2, and large subunit ribosomal RNA". The stretch from base 1 to 120 matches the Rfam family "5.8S ribosomal RNA", at positions 35 to 154 of the family's 154-position model. The record is from RNAcentral.
GAUGAAGAACGCAGCGAAAUGCGAUACGUAAUGUGAAUUGCAGAAUUCAGUGAAUCAUCGAAUCUUUGAACGCAUAUUGCGCUCUUUGGUAUUCCGAAGAGCAUGCUUGUUUGAGUAUUAGUAAACACCUCAAAGCUUUUGGAUUUUUUAAUCGAAAAGCUUUGGACUUGAGCAAUCCCAACACCAAUCUUUUUGAGAUCGGUGGCGGGUUGCUUGAAAUGCAGGUGCAGCUGGACAUUCUCCUGAGCUAAAAGCAUAUUCAUUUAGUCCCGUCAAACGGAUUAUUACUUUUGCUGCAGCUAACAUAAAGGGAGUUUGACCGUAUUGGCUGACUGAUGCAGGAUUUCACAAGGGUCGGCAACGAUUCUUGUUAAACUCGAUCUCAAAUCAAGUAAGACUACCCGCUGAACUUAAGCAUAUCAAUAAGCGGAGGA